Molecule: microRNA precursor, 59 nt
Filed under: Macaca mulatta (Rhesus monkey)
Lineage: Eukaryota; Metazoa; Chordata; Mammalia; Primates; Cercopithecidae
Description: Mml-Mir-577_pre stem-loop
Source: RNAcentral
GUAGAUAAAAUAUUGGUACCUGAUGAGUGUGAGGCCAGGUUUCAAUACUUUAUCUGCUC